AGGGUUUGAUCCUGGCCCAGAAAGAAAGCUAUAGAUGUGCUUAACACAUGCAAGUCGGUUAUCUAGAAGGUAGCGAAGGCGGACGGGUGAGUAUACUUACGAAAUUGCCAGAAAGGAGCAGGAAUGUUGGAUGAUAUGCGUAAGGUCAGGAGGUAGUUGGUGGGGUAAGGGUGUCACCAAGCCGAGGAGAGAGAGCGGGUCUGAGAGGAUGUACCGCCACAGUGGGACUGAGAGAAGGGCCAAACGUCAGGAGACGGCAGCAGUGGGGAAUAUUGGACAAUGGACGAGAGUCUGAUCCAGCGACAUCAACAGAGUAGAAAACUACUCAGAAAAGAGUGAGAGCGUACGAUAGGAGGUAUGCGAAUGACAAUUGGAGGAGUCCCGGCAAAUUCUGUGCCAGCAGCCGCGGUAAGACAGAAGGGGCGAGCUUUAUUCGGAAUGAUUGGGCGUAAAGGGUCCGUAGGUGUAUGAGUAUUGUAGGGGUAAGUGGAAUUUCCGGAGUACGGGUGGAAUUGGAAGAUACCGGAAGGAAGAUCGGAGGCGAAGGCGGCUUACUGGGCAAGGACUGACAUUGAGGGGACGAAGUCAUAGGUAGCGAAAAGGAUUAGAUACCCUUGUAGUCUAUGAAGUAAACGAUGUACAUUAAUUCUAUGAUUACGUGUGAGAAUAUGUAGUGGUGGGGUGUAGCUAAGGCACGAAAUGUACCGCCUGGGGAGUAAUACCGCAAGGUAGGAAUCUAAAGGAAUUGACGGGGAUACAUACAAAUGGUGGAAUAUGUUGGGUAAAUCGAUAAUACGCGGGGAACCUUACCAGCGCGAGACAGCUUACAGGGUAGAAGUAAGAAGCAGGUGUUGCAUGGUUGACGUAAGCUCGUGUUGUGAAAUGUAGGGUUAAGUCCUUUAACGAGCGAAGCCCUUAUACUUAGGAAUAUUUAGGAAUAGAAAGGUAUGAGACUAAGUAAACAGCCAAGGAGAACUGGGAGGAAGGGGGGGAUGAAGUUAAAUCGUCAUGGCCCAAAUGCGCUGGGCUGUAAAUGUAUUACAAUGGCGAGUACAGAGGGAGGCGAUAGGGUGAACCUGGAGCGGAACGAGAAAGCUUGUCGGAGUGCGGAUUGAUGCAUGAAACUCGGCGUCAUGAAGGAGGUAAUCAUUAAGUAAUCGCGAAGAAGAGUGUUGCGGUGAAAGUGUACUUGUAUCUUGUACAAACUGCCCGUCAAGUCCUGAGACUAAGGGUGGUUCGAAGCGUGACAUAAUGUGGUGUGAGGACCAACUGAGGGAUUGGGAUUAAGUCGUAACAAGGUAGUCGUAGGGGAACCUGCGGCUGAAAUAAGA
Molecule: ribosomal RNA, 1331 nt
Filed under: Labyrinthula sp.
Lineage: Eukaryota; Bigyra; Labyrinthulida; Labyrinthulaceae
Description: SSU rRNA
Rfam family: Bacterial small subunit ribosomal RNA
Source: RNAcentral